Molecule: non-coding RNA, 580 nt
Organism: Penaeus vannamei (Pacific white shrimp)
Lineage: Eukaryota; Metazoa; Arthropoda; Malacostraca; Decapoda; Penaeidae
Source: RefSeq, a predicted model, not a curated record
UUUCAGUAAGCGCUGAGCUCCCCUGCCGGUCUCUCACCUCGUACGAAGCAGAGAGAGAGAAAAGAAAAAGACUAAGAUUUUUAGAAAGCCGCGAAGAUGAGGAAGAUCGCUUUGUGCAUCCUUGGCUUGGUCUUGGUCGCGAGUCUGGUCCAGGCACAGGGAGGCACCACCGAGUCUUGCGAGGACUAUGAAGACAGCAAAUGCAUCGAAGAAGACUCGAUCUGCGGGACGCCUGAAAGGACCGACCUCUGCAAGGAAGGUUUCAAGUGCUGCAUUCCCAUGCAGGACAGGAAAGUGAAGGGGAAGAAGGGUGGGGAGUAAGAGGAAGAGGAGAAGGAAGAAGAGGAGGAGGAGGAGGUGAUGGGGAGGUAAUAAAGGCAUUGGCACCAGAGCUCGGCUAAAUUAGAGAAAUUUAUCGGCUAGAUUAGAGAAAAUGAUGAAAUGGUGUCUAACAGUACCUGCAUGUUCAUACUUACAUCUUUACUGAGAUCUAGACGUCCCUCCUCCCAUAAACGCACUUAAAUACACACACACAUACGCAUAUAUAUUUAUGUGCAUGUAUAUAUAUGUAUAUGUAUAU